AUCACUCCUACGGGAGGCAGCAGUGGGGAAUCUUAGACAAUGGGGGCAACCCUGAUCUAGCCAUGCCGCGUGAGUGAUGAAGGCCUUAGGGUCGUAAAGCUCCUUUCGCCAGGGAUGAUAAUGACAGUACCUGGUAAAGAAACCCCGGCUAACUCCGUGCCAGCAGCCGCGGUAAUACGGAGGGUGCGAGCGUUAAUCGGAAUUACUGGGCGUAAAGCGCAUGCAGGUGGUUUGUUAAGUCAGAUGUGAAAGCCCGGGGCUCAACCUCGGAAUUGCAUUUGAAACUGGCAAACUAGAGUACUGUAGAGGGGGGUAGAAUUUCAGGUGUAGCGGUGAAAUGCGUAGAGAUCUGAAGGAAUACCGGUGGCGAAGGCGGCCCCCUGGACAGAUACUGACACUCAGAUGCGAAAGCGUGGGGAGCAAACAGGAUUAGAUACCCUGGUAG
RNAcentral lists this ribosomal RNA (445 nucleotides) under uncultured bacterium. RNAcentral describes it as "bacterial SSU rRNA". It matches the Rfam family "Bacterial small subunit ribosomal RNA", at positions 332 to 793 of the family's 1533-position model. The record is from RNAcentral.